Molecule: transfer RNA, 65 nt
Filed under: Nactus sphaerodactylodes
Lineage: Eukaryota; Metazoa; Chordata; Lepidosauria; Squamata; Gekkonidae
Description: tRNA-Ala
Source: RNAcentral
GGUUUUAGCUUAAAUUAAAGUGUCUGAGUUGGUCAGAGGGUAUAUUUUAGAGUUUUACAGACCUU